Molecule: ribosomal RNA, 688 nt
Filed under: Nocardia cyriacigeorgica
Lineage: Bacteria; Bacillati; Actinomycetota; Actinomycetes; Mycobacteriales; Nocardiaceae
Description: bacterial SSU rRNA
Rfam family: Bacterial small subunit ribosomal RNA
Source: RNAcentral
GCCUCGCACUCUGGGAUAAGCCUGGGAAACUGGGUCUAAUACCGGAUAUGACCUUACAUCGCAUGGUGUUUGGUGGAAAGAUUUAUCGGUGCGAGAUGGGCCCGCGGCCUAUCAGCUUGUUGGUGGGGUAAUGGCCUACCAAGGCGACGACGGGUAGCCGGCCUGAGAGGGCGACCGGCCACACUGGGACUGAGACACGGCCCAGACUCCUACGGGAGGCAGCAGUGGGGAAUAUUGCACAAUGGGCGAAAGCCUGAUGCAGCGACGCCGCGUGAGGGAUGACGGCCUUCGGGUUGUAAACCUCUUUCGACAGGGACGAAGCGCAAGUGACGGUACCUGUAGAAGAAGCACCGGCCAACUACGUGCCAGCAGCCGCGGUAAUACGUAGGGUGCGAGCGUUGUCCGGAAUUACUGGGCGUAAAGAGCUUGUAGGCGGCUUGUCGCGUCGAUCGUGAAAACUUGGGGCUCAACCCCAAGCUUGCGGUCGAUACGGGCAGGCUUGAGUACUUCAGGGGAGACUGGAAUUCCUGGUGUAGCGGUGAAAUGCGCAGAUAUCAGGAGGAACACCGGUGGCGAAGGCGGGUCUCUGGGAAGUAACUGACGCUGAGAAGCGAAAGCGUGGGUAGCGAACAGGAUUAGAUACCCUGGUAGUCCACGCCGUAAACGGUGGGUACUAGGUGUGGGUUUC